UACAGAGGUCCCGAGCGUUGUUCGGAUUCACUGGGCGUAAAGGGUGCGUAGGUGGUGGGGUAAGUCGGAUGUGAAAUCUCGGAGCUCAACUCCGAAAUGGCAUUGGAAACUACCCUGCUGGAGGUUUGGAGGGGGGACUGGAAUACUUGGUGUAGCAGUGAAAUGCGUAGAUAUCAAGUGGAACACCAGUGGCGAAGGCGAGUCCCUGGACAAAAACUGACACUGAGGCACGAAAGCUAGGGGAGCAAACAGG
Molecule: ribosomal RNA, 253 nt
Filed under: uncultured bacterium
Lineage: Bacteria
Description: partial 16S ribosomal RNA
Rfam family: Bacterial small subunit ribosomal RNA
Source: RNAcentral